RNAcentral lists this ribosomal RNA (414 nucleotides) under uncultured bacterium. RNAcentral describes it as "bacterial SSU rRNA". It matches the Rfam family "Bacterial small subunit ribosomal RNA", at positions 351 to 782 of the family's 1533-position model. The record is from RNAcentral.
GCAGUGGGGAAUAUUGGACAAUGGGCGAAAGCCUGAUCCAGCAAUGCCGCGUGAGUGAUGAAGGCCUUAGGGUUGUAAAGCUCUUUUACCCGGGAUGAUAAUGACAGUACCGGGAGAAUAAGCUCCGGCUAACUCCGUGCCAGCAGCCGCGGUAAUACGGAGGGAGCUAGCGUUGUUCGGAAUUACUGGGCGUAAAGCGCACGUAGGCGGCUUUGUAAGUUAGAGGUGAAAGCCCGGGGCUCAACCCCGGAACUGCCUUUGAUACUGCAUGGCUUGAAUCCAGGAGAGGUGAGUGGAAUUCCGAGUGUAGAGGUGAAAUUCGUAGAUAUUCGGAAGAACACCAGUGGCGAAGGCGGCUCACUGGACUGGUAUUGACGCUGAGGUGCGAAAGCGUGGGGAGCAAACAGGAUUAGA